RNAcentral lists this ribosomal RNA (380 nucleotides) under uncultured eukaryote. RNAcentral's name for it is "partial 18S ribosomal RNA". It matches the Rfam family "Eukaryotic small subunit ribosomal RNA", at positions 592 to 976 of the family's 1831-position model. The record is from RNAcentral.
CAAUAGCGUAUAUUAAAGUUGUUGCAGUUAAAAAGCUCGUAGUUGGAUUUGUGGCGUACGACGGGCUCCGGGCACUUGUUGUCUGAGUAGCUUGUCGUUGCCAUCCUUGGGUGGAACCUGUGUGGCAUUAGGUUGUCGUGCAGGGGAUGCCCAUCUUUUACUGUGAAAAAAUUAGAGUGUUCAAAGCAGGCUUAUGCCGUUGAAUAUAUUAGCAUGGAAUAAUAAGAUAGGACUUUGUCGCUAUUUUGUUGGUUUGCGCGAUAAGGUAAUGAUUAAUAGGGACAGUUGGGGGUAUUCGUAUUCCAUUGUCAGAGGUGAAAUUCUUGGAUUUUUGGAAGACGAACUACUGCGAAAGCAUUUACCAAGGAUGUUUUCAUUAA